This 487-nucleotide ribosomal RNA is filed under the name uncultured bacterium. RNAcentral's name for it is "bacterial SSU rRNA". It matches the Rfam family "Bacterial small subunit ribosomal RNA", at positions 19 to 518 of the family's 1533-position model. The record is from RNAcentral.
CUGGCUCAGGAUGAACGCUGGCGGCGUGCCUAACACAUGCAAGUCGAGCGGAGAUAAGUGAAGCCUAGCGAUUCUUAUCUUAGCGGCGGAUGGGUGAGUAACACGUGGGUAACCUGCCCUGUACUGGGGAAUAACAGCUGGAAACGGCUGUUAAUGCCGCAUAUGCGCACGGAGCCGCAUGGCUUUGGGCGGAAAGAUUUAUCGGUACAGGAUGGGCCCGCGCCGGAUUAACUAGUUGGCGGGGUAACGGCCCACCAAGGUGAUGAUCCGUAGCCGACCUGAGAGGGUGACCGGCCACAUUGGGACUGAGACACGGCCCAAACUCCUACGGGAGGCAGCAGUGGGGGAUAUUGCACAAUGGGGGAAACCCUGAUGCAGCGACGCCGCGUGAAGGAUGACGUAUUUCGGUAUGUAAACUUCUAUCAGCGGGGAAGAAGAUGACGGUACCCGACUAAGAAGCCCCGGCUAACUACGUGCCAGCCGCAGC